Molecule: ribosomal RNA, 495 nt
Filed under: uncultured bacterium
Lineage: Bacteria
Description: bacterial SSU rRNA
Rfam family: Bacterial small subunit ribosomal RNA
Source: RNAcentral
UAGAACGCUAGCGGCGAGGCUUAAUAAUGCAAGGUCGAGGGGCAUCAAGGUACACGAAAGUGUAUUGUUGGCGACCGGCGGACGGGUGAGUAAUAGGUAGGUAACCUACCCAUACUGAGGCAUAGCUGGGAGAAAUUCCAGGUAAUUCCUCAUGAGGUUAUAUGACACAUGUGGUAUAAUCAAAGGUAUCGCAAGGUACUGGUAUGAGAUGGGCUUACUGACCAUUAGCUAGUUGGUGAGAUAAGAGCUCACCAAGGCGAAGAUGGUUAGGGGUUUUGAGAGAGAGAUCCCCCACAUUGGAACUGAGAUACGGUCCAGACUCCUACGGGAGGCAGCAGUAGGGAAUAUUGGGCAAUGGGCGGAAGCCUGACCCAGCCAUGCCGCGUGAAGGAAGACGGCCUUAUGGGUUGUAAACUUCUUUACUAUGCGACUAACUAGAUUUACGAGAUAAUUCUAUAGAAUGUAGCAUAGCAAAAAGCACCGGCUAACUCCGUG